This 932-nucleotide long non-coding RNA is filed under the name Oryctolagus cuniculus (rabbit). Its description in RNAcentral is "lncRNA (ENSOCUG00000030284.1)". The record is from RNAcentral. Lineage: Eukaryota; Metazoa; Chordata; Mammalia; Lagomorpha; Leporidae.
AUGAACAGGCGAUGUUACCUUUGGUCACUUUGCUGUGGACCAUCCUUGCCCACCGGACUAUUGCCUGGCAGACAGUCAAGAUUGCUUCAUUGCAAGGGCGCAGCUCCACAUUUUCUCUCUCAGUUCAGUCACCCAGUGCACUGCAACAGGAUCCCCCCCACCCACCCACCCAAAAAAAAUUGCUGGGAAGAGCUCAUUGCUAGGCCACAGCUGCAGAGUUUCCGGCCAGGAGAAGGAACGUGGACCAGGCGCCUUUCUCCAAAGGGAGUGGCUUCCAAAAUCACCCAGUGCCCAUCUCCACAAGGACAGCAGCAGGAAAAGUUGCUCAGUCUUCAAGAAUGCUGGGAUUGCCUGUGUGUCAAAGAGUUUAAAUCAGCAGUGAUCCAGCAAAUAAGCAGACACAGCAGGUUGCCUCUCUUGGCAGGUGGAAGAAGAAACCUACGAAGUAGACAACUGGGAAAGAAAAAUGUGACUGCGGAGCUCAGAUCCUGUCACUCUUCUGGGGAGAGAGAACCACUGGACAAAACACCAUGUGACUCCCACUAACUGCAGGAUACAGUCCAGACCCCUUGACACCCCGACUGCAGCACGUUGCUUCUGCCAGGCUUCUCCUCAAGCUGGAAGCCGCCACAGGCUACUUCCGGAGAGGGAGGCGGCCGUAGAGAAGAUGCACACACCUGAUGUUAUCUCCAGGAGCUCCGUCUGCUGCACACCCCUGCCCUGCACAACCCUCCAGGCUGAGCCACUGACUGCCCAGCUUCCGCGGAGCUCUGAUGGCCCACAGCAACUGCCACUCUGUGGUCUGCACAUCCAGCUCCCCACCCUGAUUGCGGCAAGGUUGUUCUUUCUCUUAAACUGGACUUAGGCCCACAGCUGACCCCUGGGUGCAUGUAGUGUGACUCCAGUGCCUCGUGGUCCCUCUUCCGGGUCAG